This 387-nucleotide transfer-messenger RNA is filed under the name Patescibacteria group. RNAcentral describes it as "2-12-FULL-50-11 sp001774395 Standard tmRNA". It matches the Rfam family "transfer-messenger RNA". Rfam says of the family: Bacterial tmRNA, also known as 10Sa RNA or SsrA, is named for its dual tRNA and mRNA-like properties. Its role is to liberate the mRNA from a stalled ribosome. To accomplish this part of the tmRNA is used as a reading frame that ends in a translation stop signal. The record is from RNAcentral. RNAcentral also lists the same sequence under 3 other names.
GGGGCUGUAAAGGAUUCGACGGGAACUUUAACAACCAAAUUUGCAAGCGGAAGUCUCUGCCUUAGAGGACAAAAAAAUUACGUGCAAACGUAUUAGCGAAAACUCGAACUGCUGUAGCAAACGCGUUUGGCAGUUUUAGUCCAGCUUACGCCGUCGCCUAAAAAACGUUCGGCCGUUUCAAUCCUUGACUCCGAUGGAGGAUUGAGGCGUCAUAUUAUCGGGUGCCUGUUCAAGAGGCAUCGCUUGAACAUUAAGAUAUAGAUGCUGGAAGUUGCGGUGUUUCGUUUGUUUAGAGCCACAAUUUCAAGACAACAAAGCAAACUAAGCUUGUAGAUGAUUUGGUUCGUUUGUUUUCGGACGCGGGUUCAACUCCCGCCAGCUCCACUC